UGGAGCAAGAUUCCAGAAUAUAUAGUGAACUAUAUUUCAACAGCUGCUUUAGAGCACUGCAGCAGAGAGAAGAAAGAAAUGAAUUUGUGACAACUACUCCUUCUUUCUGCCUGUUUCUCUCAUCACCUUAGAAUACCGAACCUGGUGAGAAACUUGGAGCAAUUGAUGCAACUAAUGGUUGACCACUCCAGAGUCACCCACAAUUCUAUGACAAUGGAGUCAAAUGUAGACAGGACCAGAAACUUUUUCAGAUGGUCCAGGGAAAAGGGGAAUUGCCUGUACGAUGUUCAAACACCCCAAGAAAUUCCCAUGUAAUCAGUACACCAGGACACCCCCACGCUCCGAAUGCACAGAAUGUUCAACCUCAGGCAAUGAAGAAACCAGAAGAUCUGGGCAACAAUGUCCCCAGAUUGGCUCAACAGGCAAAGGGAAAAUGACAUCUGGAGAAUACUUUGUGAACCCAUUCCUGUUCAUUCACUAAGGCUGUAAUAUUGUUUGAAUCAGUCAAAACUCAUCAAAAAUUUAAUUCUCUGCUUUUGA
Non-coding RNA from Chiloscyllium plagiosum (whitespotted bambooshark), 540 nucleotides. Lineage: Eukaryota; Metazoa; Chordata; Chondrichthyes; Orectolobiformes; Hemiscylliidae. The record is from RefSeq and is a predicted model, not a curated record.